UAAUACGGAGGGUGCAAGCGUUGUCCGGAUUUAUUGGGUUUAAAGGGUGCGUAGGCGGCUGAAUAAGUCAGCGGUGAAAGACUUCGGCUUAACCGGAGCAGUGCCGUUGAUACUGUUUAGCUUGAGUGUUGGAGGGGUACAUGGAAUUGAUGGUGUAGCGGUGAAAUGCAUAGAUACCAUCAGGAACACCGAUAGCGAAGGCAUUGUACUGGCCAACAACUGACGCUGAGGCACGAAAGUGUGGGGAUCGAACAGG
This 256-nucleotide ribosomal RNA is filed under the name uncultured bacterium. Its description in RNAcentral is "partial 16S ribosomal RNA". It matches the Rfam family "Bacterial small subunit ribosomal RNA", at positions 521 to 776 of the family's 1533-position model. The record is from RNAcentral.